Molecule: long non-coding RNA, 112 nt
Organism: Sphaeramia orbicularis (orbiculate cardinalfish)
Lineage: Eukaryota; Metazoa; Chordata; Actinopteri; Kurtiformes; Apogonidae
Exons: 3
Source: RefSeq, a predicted model, not a curated record
ACACUCAGUUUUCCAGUAGGCAGUCAGACAAGUGCAUGUGAAACCUCGUGUACUGGCGGAACUAGCAUACGACCGACACGAUUCAGAAGCAAAAGAAGCUAGCUUUUUCUUC